RNAcentral lists this transfer RNA (71 nucleotides) under Stegodyphus mimosarum. It matches the Rfam family "tRNA". Rfam says of the family: Transfer RNA (tRNA) molecules are approximately 80 nucleotides in length. Their secondary structure includes four short double-helical elements and three loops (D, anti-codon, and T loops). The record is from Rfam by way of RNAcentral. Lineage: Eukaryota; Metazoa; Arthropoda; Arachnida; Araneae; Eresidae.
GCCUUCAUGGUGUAAUGGUAGCACACACGGCAUGUACUUGAGAGGUCCAGGUUCGAGUCCUGAAGAGGGCA